This 254-nucleotide ribosomal RNA is filed under the name uncultured bacterium. Its description in RNAcentral is "partial 16S ribosomal RNA". It matches the Rfam family "Bacterial small subunit ribosomal RNA", at positions 524 to 776 of the family's 1533-position model. The record is from RNAcentral.
UACAGAGGUCUCAAGCGUUGUUCGGAUUCAUUGGGCGUAAAGGGUGCGUAGGCGGCGCGGUAAGUCGGGUGUGAAAUCUCGGAGCUUAACUCCGAAACUGCAUUCGAUACUGCCGUGCUUGAGGACUGGAGAGGAGACUGGAAUUUACGGUGUAGCGGUGAAAUGCGUAGAUAUCGUAAGGAAGACCAGUGGCGGAAGGCGGGUCUCUGGACAGUUCCUGACGCUGAGGCACGAAGGUCAGGGGAGCAAACGGG